AUGAGUAAGGAGGAGGUCCUCAAGAUACAGACUUGCGUGCUCAAAGUGAACAUCCACUGUGAUGGCUGCCAGAAGAAGGUCAAGAAGAUCCUGCACAAGAUCGAAGGGGUGUACCAAUCCAGCAUAGACCCGGAGCAGGGGAAGGUGACGGUGUCUGGCAUGGUGGAUCCGGACACCAUCAUCAAGAAGCUGACCAAGGCUGGCAAGCCAGCCGAACUCUGGGGGUCCAAGGCUGGAAUGGCUAACCAGUUUCAGAAGCUCCAACUUGACGGCGGUGCUAAGGGCCAGGCCAAGGACGCCGGUGGCAAGGGCCAGUCCAAGGACGCCGGCGGUGCCAAGGGUCAGAAAGGUGGCGGCGGCGGCGGCGGCGGCGGCGGAGGUGCUAGCAAGGACGCAAAGAUGAUGAUGCCGCAGCCGACGGCGCAGCAGCUUCAGCAGCUGCAACAGCAGAUGCAGAUGAAGGGAAUGAAGCUGCCGCAGUUCAUGGACGGGAAGAUGCCGUUCGCGGCGGCCGCGCCGAUGAAGGACCCCAAGUCCGUCAAGUUCAACCUCCCACCAGAGGAUGAGUUCGGGGACGACGGCAGCGAGUUCGACGACGAGUUCGACGACUUCGACGACGAGGAUGAUUUCGACGAUGACGGCCUCGACGACGACUACUUCGACGACCCCAAGAUGAUGAUGAAGCCGAUGGCCAUGCCACCGAACGCCGGUGGAGGAGACAAGAAGGGCGGCAACAAUGGUGGCAAGAAGGGUGGCAACGAGAUCCCGGUGCAGAUCAAGGGGAAUCCCAACAACGGCGGUGGCGGUGGCGGUGGCAAGAAAGACGCAGGUGGCAAGCAGAACCAAGGUGGCGGGGGCGGUAACGGCAACGGCGGUGGCAAGAAUGGAGGCGGUGGCCAGGCGAACAACGCCAAAGGAGGAGGAGGAGGCGCCCCGGGCGGCGGGGGCCAGGCGGGCCAACCUGGGAAGAAGGGCGGCGGCGGUGGCCCCGGCCUCGGUGUCGGUGGACCGAUGGGCGGCAUCGGCAUGCCGCCGCAGCAGCAGGCCAUGAUGAGGCCUAACAUGAUGGGCGCUCCCGGCUUUCCUGGUAUGGGCCCGAUGGGAGGGCCCAUGGGCCACCACCCCCACAUGGGAGGCGCGCAGGGCGGUGGCGGAGCCGCUCAUGGCAUGCCGGCCGGCGGCAUGCCUCCACCUGGGUUCUUCCAGGGAGGCGCGGGCGGCGGCGGCGGCGGCGGCAUGCCGUCCGGCCCCGCCGAGAUGAUGCAGGCUGCCGGGAACCCCAUGGCGCAGCAGCAGUACAUGGCCAUGAUGCAGCACCAGCAACAAAUGAUGAUGCAGCAGCAGCAGCAACAGCAGCAGGCGAUGAUGAACGGGCACGGGCACGCCCACGCCCACCCCCACCACGGCGGUGGCGGCGCUCCGGCGGGGUACCCGGCGAUGCCGAUGGGGUACGGGUACGGGCGGCCGCCCAUGCCGUACCCAAUGGCGUACCCGAUGCCGAUGCAGCCGCACCCGCACGCGGACCCUUACAACUACUUCAGCGACGAGAACCCCAACAGCUGCUCGGUGAUGUGA
This 1575-nucleotide ribosomal RNA is filed under the name Triticum aestivum (bread wheat). RNAcentral describes it as "partial small subunit ribosomal RNA". The record is from RNAcentral. Lineage: Eukaryota; Viridiplantae; Streptophyta; Magnoliopsida; Poales; Poaceae.